CCCUUAGAUGUUCUGGGCCGCACGCGCGCUACACUGACGAUGGCAACGAGUUUUUCCUUCGCCGAAAGGUGUGGGUAAUCUUUUGAAACAUCGUCGUGCUGGGGAUAGAUCAUUGCAAUUUUUGAUCUUGAACGAGGAAUUCCUAGUAAGCGCGAGUCAUCAGCUCGCGUUGAUUACGUCCCUGCCCUUUGUACACACCGCCCGUCGCUACUACCGAUUGAAUGGUUUAGUGAGGACUCCUGAUUGGCGCCGCCGCCCCGGCAACGGAGCAGCGGACUGCCGAAAAGUUGUUCAAACUUGAUCAUUUAGAGGAAGUAACAGUCGUAACA
This 329-nucleotide ribosomal RNA is filed under the name uncultured eukaryote. RNAcentral's name for it is "partial 18S ribosomal RNA". It matches the Rfam family "Eukaryotic small subunit ribosomal RNA", at positions 1470 to 1796 of the family's 1831-position model. The record is from RNAcentral.